Apis cerana (Asiatic honeybee) is the source of this 406-nucleotide long non-coding RNA. RefSeq lists it as uncharacterized. Lineage: Eukaryota; Metazoa; Arthropoda; Insecta; Hymenoptera; Apidae. The record is from RefSeq and is a predicted model, not a curated record.
CGUUCCCUGAAAAAGGUUGUGGGGAAGCUUCUGCCGAAUGUAUUUCUCGAUGGAAAAUAGAGAACAGUAACUGGGAUAUUUUCAUUUUCGAACGAAUUUUCAUUCCCGCUCGAAUGUGUGUUUCUCACACGUCUCUGUAUUUCGAUGAAACGAUAUUGAAAAUGGAUGAAAAUGAAUUGCUAAUUAGCAUGGAUAGUAAUUAGUGUUACUGAUAAAGCGAGAGUAUACGUGGGAAAGCAAAUACUGAGAUCUUUUUUUAACGAUAAGAUAUCCGAAACAUGAUAUUUUAAUUUGAAGAAGAAAUAAUAUACGAAAUGUAAUUUUUCCGGGAAAUAUUUGAUGGUAAAUUGUAAUUAUUUUAUAAUGUUAAUUAGAAUUGAUGGCAAUUAAAUGGCAAUUACUAUCA